UUUGACCGAACCCAGCCACAGCGGCCGGUCGGCGGGCCGCUGCUGCCCGUAGGUGGCCAGCAGCGCCUGGGCUUC
This 75-nucleotide antisense RNA is filed under the name Nocardia donostiensis. RNAcentral's name for it is "ASpks TB sRNA". It matches the Rfam family "ASpks TB sRNA". The record is from Rfam by way of RNAcentral. Lineage: Bacteria; Bacillati; Actinomycetota; Actinomycetes; Mycobacteriales; Nocardiaceae.